UACGUAGGGUGCGGGCGUUAAUCGGAAUUACUGGGCGUAAAGCGUGCGCAGGCGGCUUCGCAAGUCAGACGUGAAAUCCCCGGGCUUAACCUGGGAAUGGCGUUUGAAACUACGGAGCUGGAGUGUGGCAGAGGGAGGUAGAAUUCCACGUGUAGCGGUGAAAUGCGUAGAUAUGUGGAGGAAUACCGAUGGCGAAGGCAGCCUCCUGGGCCAACACUGACGCUCAUGCACGAAAGCGUGGGGAGCAAACAGG
RNAcentral lists this ribosomal RNA (253 nucleotides) under uncultured bacterium. RNAcentral's name for it is "partial 16S ribosomal RNA". It matches the Rfam family "Bacterial small subunit ribosomal RNA", at positions 524 to 776 of the family's 1533-position model. The record is from RNAcentral.